Long non-coding RNA from Vanessa atalanta (red admiral), 323 nucleotides. RefSeq lists it as uncharacterized. Lineage: Eukaryota; Metazoa; Arthropoda; Insecta; Lepidoptera; Nymphalidae. The transcript has 2 exons. The record is from RefSeq and is a predicted model, not a curated record.
UUGUCGCUGUAGCGCCCAAGGGUAGCAUUGUUCACUCAAAUAUGCUGGGAAAAAGCUUAAUUAAUAUAUUGCGUAGAAGUAGAACAACAGUUCAACCAUUUCACGUGCCCAAAAGAAAUUUUGCUCAAGUUGGUAUAGUUAUAUGCACUCCUCCUAGGGUUCCAUGUUCAUACGGGGAGAAAGUAUUACAUAUAUUGUUUAUGUACUGCGUCUGGUUUUUACCAAUGGCGUAUUUUCUUACUCAGCUUAAAGUGUGGAGGAGGGAAUAUGUGCAGUCGAAUUAAAAAAUAAACAGAUAUUGUGAAAUAAAUGUUCUAAUUAGA